AGAAACUAGGCUUGGUGCUUCCACACAGCUUUUCUAGUUUAUUGGCUCUAUUUGCUUGUAAAAGUAUGUUUUCAAUUACACCUAAAAGGUUUGAUUCCAACUACUCUGGGAAAAGCAGUAUGUAUUGUUUUUCAUGCCCAAAUCACAUACAUUCUGGUUCAUCGGAAAUUUAAGGUGCAGUACGCUGACAUCAAAUGGCCAGCAAUAGAACAGAGUCUUGGGAGGAAGUUCCAGCCUGAAGACCUUAGGAUGCAUAAGAAUCACCUAGAAUGCUGGCUUGAAAUGCAGAUUUCUGGCCUCAACCCAUGAGACUCUGAUUCAGCAGAGCUAGUGGGGAUGUGGAAUCAUGACGCAGGACAAGACAUCACGAGAGGCAGCACAGGCGGGCAGGAAGACCGUGGACUUGGGCAUGUGACCUGGAUGGAAGUACCUGCUCUGCCUCUUCCUAGCUGUGUGGCCCUAGGCAAGUUGUUUAACGAGUGGAAGCUUAGUUUUUCUCAUUGUUAAAUUGGGAAUAAUAAUACCCUCCUUGUAGGGUUGACAUGGGGAGUAUAGAUAAUGGGACUAGCACAAUGUCUGGUCCUGUUAAAUAACAAAUAGCUUUUUUUAUUAUAACCACCAAUAAUGUGUUUGAAUUUCUC
Molecule: long non-coding RNA, 641 nt
Filed under: Rhinopithecus bieti (black snub-nosed monkey)
Lineage: Eukaryota; Metazoa; Chordata; Mammalia; Primates; Cercopithecidae
Description: lncRNA (ENSRBIG00000045210.1)
Source: RNAcentral